Molecule: ribosomal RNA, 203 nt
Filed under: uncultured bacterium
Lineage: Bacteria
Description: partial 16S ribosomal RNA
Rfam family: Bacterial small subunit ribosomal RNA
Source: RNAcentral
UUGCAGGCUGCAACUCGCCUGCAUGAAGCUGGAAUUGCUAGUAAUCGCGGAUCAGCAAGCCGCGGUGAAUACGUUCCCGGGCCUUGUACACACCGCCCGUCACACCAUGAGAGUCGGGAACACCCGAAGUCCGUAGUCUAACCGCAAGGGGGGCGCGGCCGAAGGUGGGUCCGGUAAUUGGGGUGAAGUCGUAACAAGGUAUC